This 253-nucleotide ribosomal RNA is filed under the name uncultured bacterium. RNAcentral's name for it is "partial 16S ribosomal RNA". It matches the Rfam family "Bacterial small subunit ribosomal RNA", at positions 524 to 776 of the family's 1533-position model. The record is from RNAcentral.
UACGUAGGUGGCGAGCGUUGUUCGGAUUUAUUGGGCGUAAAGGGUCCGCAGGGGGUUUGUUAAGUCUGAUGUGAAAUCCCGGGGCUCAACCCCGGAACUGCAUUGGAUACUGGCAGACUUGAGUAUCGGAGAGGAAAGUGGAAUUCCAGGUGUAGCGGUAGAAUGCGUAGAUAUCUGGAAGAACACCAACAGCGAAGGCAGCUUUCUGGACGAUUACUGACCCUCAUGGACGAAAGCGUGGGUAGCAAACAGG